Molecule: unclassified non-coding RNA, 240 nt
Filed under: Hevea brasiliensis (rubber tree)
Lineage: Eukaryota; Viridiplantae; Streptophyta; Magnoliopsida; Malpighiales; Euphorbiaceae
Source: RNAcentral
UCUUUUUUCAUGCUAUUAAGUUUCUCUGUUUGUUUCCUGGGAAAACAUGGGAUUAGGGAAGAGAAAAGGGGCAGCAAAUUGGUUUCGAUUUCUAUUUUUUUCGCCCUUUCUUUCAAAUUUUUAAAUGAAUGGAGAAGUAAAAUGAGUUAAAUUGCGUAUUUGGGCUCAUUCGAGUCGUGAGUGACCUGUGAAUUUGAAAAUCUUACAUCGAAUUCAGUGUUUUGUUUUGCUUUGCUUUUG